GUUGGAGUGCAGUGGCACAAUCACAGCUCACUGUAACCUUGAAUUCCUGGGCUCAAGUGAUCAUCUGGCUUCAGCCUCCCAAACUGCUGGGACUACAGGUGUGAGCCACUAUGCCUGGCCAGAGCUUUUUUUCAGACAUCUUCUAUCUACUUUUACUAGGUAAUGUUCUCACAUAGUACAAAAUUCAAAAGGUGCAAAUGGGUCAGAGUGGAGAGUACAUCUUGCUUCUUUUAUUGUAUAGCCUUCCAGAGAGAACUUAUCUAUGCCUAGUAGGCAUAUAUGUGUUUAUAUAUUUAUAUACAUAUUUAGAUAUUUAGAUUGGUAGAUGAUAGAUCAUUUAAAUUUUUUUUUGCAAAAACAGGUCCAUACUAGCUGCACUUAUUUCUAGGAAGCACUUUCCAUCAGCCAGAGAGAUAGAAAUGAGGUGUGGGGAGGUAAAAAGGAAGUGACCUGUCCCACAGUGAAUCUGCAGAAAAGCCAGUGAAGACCAGGUGGAUGAAAAUGAGGCUGGGGCCAUGCCCAUGGGGAGAUGUUGGACGAUGCUUGAGUGCAAGAUGGCAGCAGGCCGGGAGAGGCCCAGAAGAGAACUCACCACGCCGUGGGGGUGAGUAGCGGGAGGGACAGCAGCAUGUGCAUCCCCCAAAGGCCUCCAGUUUGUUUGUAAAGUCUCAGGCAGGAAUCUGCCCUUGUGAUCCUGAGGCCUCAUGUUUCAGGGCUCAAAGCUGGCCCUGGGGACAGGAGGUGGCAACUGGUGUCUGACCCCCUAAACCUGGUGCCUCCACUGAUCAACAGACCAGAUAAGGGACAGGUCACCCCCUGACCUUAGGGCCUUGAGGCCCAGGGCGGGGAGUGGGUGGUGGUGCUGCAGUUAGAGGAUCCCAUUCUCAGGACAGUAAACCCUCGAAAGAACUUCUCACCCACUAUUUUCCAAGCUUUAGUCACUUGCAUUCUGCUUUCAUAAUGUUGACCAUUUCCAAGUUCCCUUGUAUUUUUAAACUUAAAAUAAAG
This 1008-nucleotide long non-coding RNA is filed under the name Homo sapiens (human). RNAcentral's name for it is "HSALNT0240005". The record is from RNAcentral. Lineage: Eukaryota; Metazoa; Chordata; Mammalia; Primates; Hominidae.